This is a non-coding RNA of Drosophila melanogaster (fruit fly), 789 nucleotides long. The record is from Ensembl. Lineage: Eukaryota; Metazoa; Arthropoda; Insecta; Diptera; Drosophilidae.
ACUUUUUCCGCUGCUGUGCCACUCGUUCCUGAAACAGUUCACGUCCUUGGCGCCGGGUAAUGGAGGAGCCCAGUCGAGUGGUCGCCUCCUUUUUGGCGUUAAUGAAAAAUGCAUGAAAUUUAAAUUGCGCCAAAGUGUUGACCAGUGGCUGGACCCACACCUUUGCCUCCACUGAAAUCCGCUUUGCUCGGAUGCGAUGUGGGCAUGAGCAAUUUGUUACACCGUGCAACAAGCGAAUGGUCCGUAGACACUUUUAUUACGCGGCGCCAACAAAACAAGCGGCAGGAGGAAAGGUGGAAGGUGGCAAAAUCGACAGACAAAAAGCGACAAAUGCGAUGACAAACAAUACGAACAACAACAAUGACGCCGCUGUCAAUUGUCUGAAUUUUGAAAACCGAAAGCAAGAAAAUAAAGGGAACGAAACGAAAACACUGAAAAUCGUAGACUGUGGAAAAACUGAACCUCAUUUUCUAUGCUACUGCCGCUGCCAAAUGUCAAAUGUCGAAUUGAGCAAUGAAAUGUGAACUUUUCAUUUGCCGCCACCAACAGGAAACAAAACGGAGCACAAAAGAAAUUGCAGUGUAAAAAAAAAAUGGACAGUCAAAAAUGUUACCAAUCAAAUGAAAUGUAAUCAAACGGAAUGAACAGGACAGCGGGGAGACAUCAAAUCAAGCAACGAUUUUUAUGUUUCACUCCAUGACAAGUCUGCUAUUUUUAGGACAAAGAUACACAUUAAUGAUUUUACGUACAGACAUUUAAAUAUACCACUAAUUUUACCAAAUAGAUGCC